RNAcentral lists this ribosomal RNA (494 nucleotides) under uncultured bacterium. RNAcentral describes it as "partial 16S ribosomal RNA". It matches the Rfam family "Bacterial small subunit ribosomal RNA", at positions 28 to 507 of the family's 1533-position model. The record is from RNAcentral.
GACGAACGCUGGCGGCGUGCUUAACACAUGCAAGUCGAACGGAAAGGCCUGCUUUCCCUUGUGGAUUGCGGGUACUCGAGUGGCGAACGGGUGAGUAACACGUGAGUGAUCUGCCCCCAACUUGGGUAUAAGCCUGGGAAACUGGGUCUAAUUCCCGAUAGGACUGCAGGGUGGUGCCUGUGGUGGAAAACGAUUUUCUAGUGGUUGGGGAUGAGCUCGCGGCCUAUCAGCUUGUUGGUGGGGUAAUGGCCUACCAAGGCGGCGACGGGUAGCCGGCCUGGGAGGGUGGACGGCCACAUUGGGACUGGGAUACGGCCCAGACUCCUGCGGGAGGCAGCAGUGGGGAAUAUUGCACAAUGGGCGGAAGCCUGAUGCAGCGACGCCGCGUGGGGGAUGACGGCCUUCGGGUUGUAAACUCCUUUCGACCGCGAGGAAGCCACCUGGUUGGAAGGGUGGUGACGGUAGUGGUAGAAGAAGCACCGGCUAACUACGUG